RNAcentral lists this transfer RNA (75 nucleotides) under Methanosphaera sp. rholeuAM130. RNAcentral describes it as "tRNA-Glu". It matches the Rfam family "tRNA". Rfam says of the family: Transfer RNA (tRNA) molecules are approximately 80 nucleotides in length. Their secondary structure includes four short double-helical elements and three loops (D, anti-codon, and T loops). RNAcentral also lists the same sequence under 1 other name. Lineage: Archaea; Methanobacteriati; Methanobacteriota; Methanobacteria; Methanobacteriales; Methanobacteriaceae. The record is from RNAcentral.
GCUCCGAUAGUGUAGUCCGGUCAAUCAUUUCGGUCUCUCGAGCCGAAGACCCGGGUUCGAAUCCCGGCCGGAGCA